RNAcentral lists this ribosomal RNA (468 nucleotides) under uncultured bacterium. RNAcentral's name for it is "partial 16S ribosomal RNA". It matches the Rfam family "Bacterial small subunit ribosomal RNA", at positions 28 to 507 of the family's 1533-position model. The record is from RNAcentral.
GACGAACGCUGGCGGCGUGCUUAACACAUGCAAGUCGAACGGAAAGGCCCUGCUUUUGUGGGGUGCUCGAGUGGCGAACGGGUGAGUAACACGUGAGUAACCUGCCCUUUACUUUGGGAUAACUUCAGGAAACUGGGGCUAAUACCGGAUAGGAGCUCCUGCUGCAUUGUGGUGUUUGGAAAUUUUCGGCGUUUGGGGAUGGACUCGCGGCUUAUCAGCUUGUUUGUGGGGUAGUGGCUUACCAAGGGUUUGACGGGUAGCCGGCCUGAGAGGGUGACCGGCAACAUUGGGACUGAGAUACGGCCCAGAGUCCAACGGGAGGCAGAAGUGGGGAAUAUUGCAGAAUGGGCGGAAGCCUGAUGCAGAAACGCCGCGUGCGGGAUGACGGCCUUCGGGUUGUAAACCGAUUUAGCAUGUGACGAAGCGUGAGUGACGGUAAUGGGUAAAGAAGCACCGGCUAACUACGUG